RNAcentral lists this long non-coding RNA (1603 nucleotides) under Pogonomyrmex barbatus (red harvester ant). RNAcentral's name for it is "uncharacterized LOC105422874, transcript variant X2". Lineage: Eukaryota; Metazoa; Arthropoda; Insecta; Hymenoptera; Formicidae. The record is from RNAcentral.
CAUUACCGGGGAAUGAUUGCAGCGUCGGGACCAGCGCGCCAGCCGCGCUAUUGGGGGAUGGAAACCACCUUAUAGAGUCUCUCCUCGGUCCUCGAUGCGAGCGGAUUGUCACAUGCUCCUGCUUGCACGGCAGAGCGCGUUUCCUCUUCUUCAUUCGAGUUCGAUUUUGCGGUGGAGAACUUUCUUCGUGGUGUGAGUGACCGAGACAUGGCGGUCAGUCGGGGCGAGCACAAAAAAAAAGUAGCGGUCGGAAGAAAGUUACCGAAGCCAUAUCGAGGCCAUACUUCCGGAAUAUUCACAUCACGUUAUCGCGAUACUUGUCCCUCAGAGUGAACUACGACGUUCCCUUUUUCAUUUCUUUUUAUUCUUCAAUUUAUCCUUUAUCAUACGAGUGUAUUGUGCGAUGGAACAUGGCGACUGCUCACGUGUGUUACUCAAGACAGGUGUAACGUAGUGAAGCUACUCGCUAGAGAUUUUGUGAUCUAUUGUCCUGAUUAAUAAUCGAUUAAUUAUAUUAAAAAUUAUUUGAAAAGGAGAUCAAACAAUGAUUAGCAUCCUGCUCAAAUGCUAAUAUCGAUGCUCAUCGUAUGAAAAACUAGAUAACGAUCACCAUUUGCGUUUCUGAUGACUUAUUUUGUGGAUCGAUUGUGAUGUAUCGUCGACAGUACGCGAUACGUUAGCAUUGUUACGUAGCAUUGCCAGUGGUUUUGUUUAGAGUGGCCCUCGAUGAAUUCCAGUGAAAAGGUCGUGCGUGUUGUACGAGAUGUAGACACUAGUAUGGCGCACAUGUUGCUCCUUGUACAUUCGAUAUUGUUGUUGUUGCGGAAUUGGCAAACCAUGAGCCGAUUGUUACCACGCUCAGGUUUGUCGAUAGAAGAAUUUUCUUAAUAAGGUUAUAAUUAUCGAUACGUUGCAAUCAUAUGUAAUGGAAGAUUUUUUUUAUACAAAAGUAAAUUGGCGGAAAAUUUAUCCGGCUUUCAAAUGGAGGAAAGAGUAAUAGAAAAUUGAAAGAAGAUUGAAUAAUCGCAUUUUCCGAUGAAGAGAAUAUAUGAAGUUGCUAGAGAUUACGUAAAUAUCAUCGUAAAUAUCAUCAACGAAUGUUUAUUCAUCAAGAAUUUUCUCGUCUAUCGCAAGUUGGAUGAAGAAAAGCAUCACUUAUUAACAGAUGUUGCAGAUAUUGUCGAGUUUCGCAAAACUUGGAGACCUUAUUGGGCUGCAGUGUUUACGACUUGAGAACUGGAAAAUAAUUGUCGUUUAAGAGCUGAUAGUUUACGGAUACCUGAAAGUUUCUGCCCGUCUGCGAAGGACAUUCUUGAAUUUUCAGAAAUAUCUUUAAGAAACCAUUUCACAAGGACCAGACAAAAGAGACUCAGCGAAAGAAUUUUUCCCAGUCAACUUUGACACGCGGGUUCUUUUGUACGCACCAUUUAUGUACGAAGCUUAACUUUUUGCGUUACUCCGCACCUAGUAUUAUCGCACUCUAUAUUUUAUGCUUUAUCUACGAACACUUGUCUCAUUUACUUCUAGAAAUAACCGCAUAACAUAAUGAAGAAAUAACAUAAUAAAGACGACAAGAAAUAUUCUCUAAUUUAAUGUCUCUAUU